This 77-nucleotide transfer RNA is filed under the name Pseudomonadota bacterium. RNAcentral describes it as "tRNA-Arg". It matches the Rfam family "tRNA". Rfam says of the family: Transfer RNA (tRNA) molecules are approximately 80 nucleotides in length. Their secondary structure includes four short double-helical elements and three loops (D, anti-codon, and T loops). The record is from RNAcentral. RNAcentral also lists the same sequence under 5 other names. Lineage: Bacteria; Pseudomonadati; Pseudomonadota.
GCGCCCUUAGCUCAGUUGGAUAGAGCGUUGGACUACGAAUCCAAAGGUCCUAGGUUCGAGCCCUAGAGGGCGCGCCA